GCCGGCAGCAAUAGCUCUCUGCGACUCUCACGUGGUCGCCCACUGAAGCUAAGCAGGGCUGUGUCUGGUCAGUGCCUGAAUGGGAGACCACAUGGGAAAGCUAGGUUGCUGCCACAA
This 117-nucleotide ribosomal RNA is filed under the name Danio rerio (zebrafish). The record is from RNAcentral. Lineage: Eukaryota; Metazoa; Chordata; Actinopteri; Cypriniformes; Danionidae.